This 399-nucleotide ribosomal RNA is filed under the name uncultured Agreia sp. RNAcentral's name for it is "bacterial SSU rRNA". It matches the Rfam family "Bacterial small subunit ribosomal RNA", at positions 958 to 1356 of the family's 1533-position model. Lineage: Bacteria; Bacillati; Actinomycetota; Actinomycetes; Micrococcales; Microbacteriaceae. The record is from RNAcentral.
AACGCGAAGAACCUUACCAAGGCUUGACAUUCACGAGAACGGGCCAGAAAUGGUCAACUCUUUGGACACUCGUGAACAGGUGGUGCAUGGUUGUCGUCAGCUCGUGUCGUGAGAUGUUGGGUUAAGUCCCGCAACGAGCGCAACCCUCGUUCUAUGUUGCCAGCACGUGAUGGUGGGAACUCAUAGGAGACUGCCGGGGUCAACUCGGAGGAAGGUGGGGAUGACGUCAAAUCAUCAUGCCCCUUAUGUCUUGGGCUUCACGCAUGCUGCAAUGGCCGGUACAAAGGGCUGCGAUACCGUAAGGUGGAGCGAAUCCCAAAAAGCCGGUCUCAGUUCGGAUUGAGGUCUGCAACUCGACCUCAUGAAGUCGGAGUCGCUAGUAAUCACAGAUCAGCAACG